This is a long non-coding RNA of Sorghum bicolor (sorghum), 434 nucleotides long. RefSeq lists it as uncharacterized. NCBI's taxonomy places the organism in Eukaryota, Viridiplantae, Streptophyta, Magnoliopsida, Poales, Poaceae. The transcript has 2 exons. The record is from RefSeq and is a predicted model, not a curated record.
UCAACACUCAUCUGCCGUCUGCUCGCUAGCAAUAGUAAUGGCACCUUCACGGAGGACUCUCUUUGCAACCGCUGCCAUCGUCCUUGUACUCAUCAUCGUGGUCACCGAGAUGUCAUCUGUUGGGGCAGGUGGUGCUCUUUGCAGGCACCUGAGCAGCGGAUUUACCGGGGUGUGCGGUUUUGACACUGAUUGUAGGACUCAGUGCUUGAGCGAGAGCCACGACAAUCUUGGCGGUGCAUGUGACGGGUUCCCCGCUAAAUGCUACUGUGUGAAGCCAUGCCUGCCUUAAGAUUGGUGCUGCUCUGUCUGAUCCAGCAAUAAUACGACGAUCCUUGCCGCCCCUACAUGUAUUACUACUACCUGUGUAAUGCGGUAGCUUGCUUGUAAUUUUGUUGCCAUAAAUAAAGUUGUUGAACUCCUGGAUCUAAUAAAUA